This 2903-nucleotide ribosomal RNA is filed under the name Escherichia coli. RNAcentral describes it as "23S ribosomal RNA". It matches the Rfam family "Bacterial large subunit ribosomal RNA". Lineage: Bacteria; Pseudomonadati; Pseudomonadota; Gammaproteobacteria; Enterobacterales; Enterobacteriaceae. The record is from RNAcentral.
UUAAGCGACUAAGCGUACACGGUGGAUGCCCUGGCAGUCAGAGGCGAUGAAGGACGUGCUAAUCUGCGAUAAGCGUCGGUAAGGUGAUAUGAACCGUUAUAACCGGCGAUUUCCGAAUGGGGAAACCCAGUGUGAUUCGUCACACUAUCAUUAACUGAAUCCAUAGGUUAAUGAGGCGAACCGGGGGAACUGAAACAUCUAAGUACCCCGAGGAAAAGAAAUCAACCGAGAUUCCCCCAGUAGCGGCGAGCGAACGGGGAGCAGCCCAGAGCCUGAAUCAGUGUGUGUGUUAGUGGAAGCGUCUGGAAAGGCGCGCGAUACAGGGUGACAGCCCCGUACACAAAAAUGCACAUGCUGUGAGCUCGAUGAGUAGGGCGGGACACGUGGUAUCCUGUCUGAAUAUGGGGGGACCAUCCUCCAAGGCUAAAUACUCCUGACUGACCGAUAGUGAACCAGUACCGUGAGGGAAAGGCGAAAAGAACCCCGGCGAGGGGAGUGAAAAAGAACCUGAAACCGUGUACGUACAAGCAGUGGGAGCACGCUUAGGCGUGUGACUGCGUACCUUUUGUAUAAUGGGUCAGCGACUUAUAUUCUGUAGCAAGGUUAACCGAAUAGGGGAGCCGAAGGGAAACCGAGUCUUAACUGGGCGUUAAGUUGCAGGGUAUAGACCCGAAACCCGGUGAUCUAGCCAUGGGCAGGUUGAAGGUUGGGUAACACUAACUGGAGGACCGAACCGACUAAUGUUGAAAAAUUAGCGGAUGACUUGUGGCUGGGGGUGAAAGGCCAAUCAAACCGGGAGAUAGCUGGUUCUCCCCGAAAGCUAUUUAGGUAGCGCCUCGUGAAUUCAUCUCCGGGGGUAGAGCACUGUUUCGGCAAGGGGGUCAUCCCGACUUACCAACCCGAUGCAAACUNCGAAUACCGGAGAAUGUUAUCACGGGAGACACACGGCGGGUGCUAACGUCCGUCGUGAAGAGGGAAACAACCCAGACCGCCAGCUAAGGUCCCAAAGUCAUGGUUAAGUGGGAAACGAUGUGGGAAGGCCCAGACAGCCAGGAUGUUGGCUUAGAAGCAGCCAUCAUUUAAAGAAAGCGUAAUAGCUCACUGGUCGAGUCGGCCUGCGCGGAAGAUGUAACGGGGCUAAACCAUGCACCGAAGCUGCGGCAGCGACACUAUGUGUUGUUGGGUAGGGGAGCGUUCUGUAAGCCUGUGAAGGUGGCCUGUGAGGGUUGCUGGAGGUAUCAGAAGUGCGAAUGCUGACAUAAGUAACGAUAAAGCGGGUGAAAAGCCCGCUCGCCGGAAGACCAAGGGUUCCUGUCCAACGUUAAUCGGGGCAGGGUGAGUCGACCCCUAAGGCGAGGCCGAAAGGCGUAGUCGAUGGGAAACAGGUUAAUAUUCCUGUACUUGGUGUUACUGCGAAGGGGGGACGGAGAAGGCUAUGUUGGCCGGGCGACGGUUGUCCCGGUUUAAGCGUGUAGGCUGGUUUUCCAGGCAAAUCCGGAAAACCAAGGCUGAGGCGUGAUGACGAGGCACUACGGUGCUGAAGCGACAAAUGCCCUGCUUCCAGGAAAAGCCUCUAAGCAUCAGGUAACAUCAAAUCGUACCCCAAACCGACACAGGUGGUCAGGUAGAGAAUACCAAGGCGCUUGAGAGAACUCGGGUGAAGGAACUAGGCAAAAUGGUGCCGUAACUUCGGGAGAAGGCACGCUGAUAUGUAGGUGAAGCGACUUGCUCGUGGAGCUGAAAUCAGUCGAAGAUACCAGCUGGCUGCAACUGUUUAUUAAAAACACAGCACUGUGCAAACACGAAAGUGGACGUAUACGGUGUGACGCCUGCCCGGUGCCGGAAGGUUAAUUGAUGGGGUUAGCGGUAACGCGAAGCUCUUGAUCGAAGCCCCGGUAAACGGCGGCCGUAACUAUAACGGUCCUAAGGUAGCGAAAUUCCUUGUCGGGUAAGUUCCGACCUGCACGAAUGGCGUAAUGAUGGCCAGGCUGUCUCCACCCGAGACUCAGUGAAAUUGAACUCGCUGUGAAGAUGCAGUGUACCCGCGGCAAGACGGAAAGACCCCGUGAACCUUUACUAUAGCUUGACACUGAACAUUGAGCCUUGAUGUGUAGGAUAGGUGGGAGGCUUUGAAGUGUGGACGCCAGUCUGCAUGGAGCCGACCUUGAAAUACCACCCUUUAAUGUUUGAUGUUCUAACGUUGGCCCGUAAUCCGGGUUGCGGACAGUGUCUGGUGGGUAGUUUGACUGGGGCGGUCUCCUCCUAAAGAGUAACGGAGGAGCACGAAGGUUGGCUAAUCCUGGUCGGACAUCAGGAGGUUAGUGCAAUGGCAUAAGCCAGCUUGACUGCGAGCGUGACGGCGCGAGCAGGUGCGAAAGCAGGUCAUAGUGAUCCGGUGGUUCUGAAUGGAAGGGCCAUCGCUCAACGGAUAAAAGGUACUCCGGGGAUAACAGGCUGAUACCGCCCAAGAGUUCAUAUCGACGGCGGUGUUUGGCACCUCGAUGUCGGCUCAUCACAUCCUGGGGCUGAAGUAGGUCCCAAGGGUAUGGCUGUUCGCCAUUUAAAGUGGUACGCGAGCUGGGUUUAGAACGUCGUGAGACAGUUCGGUCCCUAUCUGCCGUGGGCGCUGGAGAANUGAGGGGGGCUGCUCCUAGUACGAGAGGACCGGAGUGGACGCAUCACUGGUGUUCGGGUUGUCAUGCCAAUGGCACUGCCCGGUAGCUAAAUGCGGAAGAGAUAAGUGCUGAAAGCAUCUAAGCACGAAACUUGCCCCGAGAUGAGUUCUCCCUGACUCCUUGAGAGUCCUGAAGGAACGUUGAAGACGACGACGUUGAUAGGCCGGGUGUGUAAGCGCAGCGAUGCGUUGAGCUAACCGGUACUAAUGAACCGUGAGGCUUAACCUU